UCCAGACUCCUACGGGAGGCAGCAGUGGGGAAUAUUGCACAAUGGGGGGAACCCUGAUGCAGCGACGCCGCGUGGGUGAAGGAGUACUUCGGUACGUAAAGCCCUAUCAGCAGGAAAGAAAAUGACAGUACCUGACCAAGAAGCCCCGGCUAACUACGUGCCAGCAGCCGCGGUAAUACGUAGGGGGCAAGCGUUAUCCGGAUUUACUGGGUGUAAAGGGAGCGUAGACGGUUAUGUAAGUCUGGAGUGAAAGCCCGGGGCCCAACCCCGGGACUGCUUUGGAAACUGUGUAACUGGAGUACAGGAGGGGCAGGCGGAAUUCCUGGUGUAGCGGUGAAAUGCGUAGAUAUAAGGAGGAACACCGGCGGCGAAGGCGGCCUGCUGGACCGCGACUGACGUUGAGGCUCGAAAGCGUGGGGAGCGAACAGGAUUAGAUACCCCCGUAUCC
This 448-nucleotide ribosomal RNA is filed under the name uncultured bacterium. RNAcentral's name for it is "bacterial SSU rRNA". It matches the Rfam family "Bacterial small subunit ribosomal RNA", at positions 330 to 795 of the family's 1533-position model. The record is from RNAcentral.